GCCAGGGUGGUGGAAUUGGUAGACACGCUGGGUUUAGGUUCCAGUCUUUGUAGGGUAGGGGUUCAAGUCCCCUCUCUGGUA
RNAcentral lists this transfer RNA (81 nucleotides) under Coccophora langsdorfii. RNAcentral's name for it is "tRNA-Leu". It matches the Rfam family "tRNA". From Rfam's summary of the family: Transfer RNA (tRNA) molecules are approximately 80 nucleotides in length. Their secondary structure includes four short double-helical elements and three loops (D, anti-codon, and T loops). Further hydrogen bonds mediate the characteristic L-shaped molecular structure. tRNAs have two regions of fundamental functional importance: the anti-codon, which is responsible for specific mRNA codon recognition, and the 3' end, to which the tRNAs corresponding amino acid is attached (by aminoacyl-tRNA synthetases). tRNAs cope with the degeneracy of the genetic code in two manners: having more than one tRNA (with a specific anti-codon) for a particular amino acid; and 'wobble' base-pairing, i.e. permitting non-standard base-pairing at the 3rd anti-codon position. Lineage: Eukaryota; Phaeophyceae; Fucales; Sargassaceae. The record is from RNAcentral.